Molecule: unclassified non-coding RNA, 188 nt
Filed under: plant metagenome
Description: partial contains small subunit ribosomal RNA and internal transcribed spacer 1
Rfam family: Eukaryotic small subunit ribosomal RNA (bases 1-46)
Source: RNAcentral
AAGUCGUAACAAGGUUUCCGUAGGUGAACCUGCGGAAGGACCAUUACCUAGAGUUUGUGGGCUUUGCCUGCUAUCCUCUACCCAUGUCUUUUGAGUACUUACGUUUCCUCAGCGGGUCCGCCCGCCGAUUGGACAAAAUUAAACCCUUUGCAGUUGCAAUCAGCGUCUGAAAAACAUAAUAGUUACAA